GUUAGGAAUAUUGGACAAUGGACGCAAGUCUGAUCCAGCCAUGCCGCGUGAGUGAUGAAGGCCUUCGGGUUGUAAAGCUCUUUAGCCGAUGAUUAUAAUGACUGUAGUCGGAAAAUAAGCCCCGGCUAACUUCGUGCCAGCAGCCGCGGUAAUACGAAGGGGGCGAGCGUUAUUCGGAAUCACUGGGCGUAAAGCGUGCGUAGGCGGUUUUGUAAGUUGGGAGUGAAAGCCCAGGGCUCAACCCUGGAAUUGCUCUCAAAACUACAAGACUUGAAUUCGGGAGAGGAUAGCGGAAUUGUCAGUGUAGCAGUGAAAUGCGUAGAUAUUGACAGGAACACCAGUGGCGUAAGCGGCUAUCUGGACCGACAUUGACGCUGAGGCACGAAAGCGUGGGGAUCAAACAGGAUUAGAUACCCGUGUAGUCC
This 425-nucleotide ribosomal RNA is filed under the name uncultured bacterium. Its description in RNAcentral is "partial 16S ribosomal RNA". It matches the Rfam family "Bacterial small subunit ribosomal RNA", at positions 354 to 796 of the family's 1533-position model. The record is from RNAcentral.